This 253-nucleotide ribosomal RNA is filed under the name uncultured bacterium. Its description in RNAcentral is "partial 16S ribosomal RNA". It matches the Rfam family "Bacterial small subunit ribosomal RNA", at positions 524 to 776 of the family's 1533-position model. The record is from RNAcentral.
UACGUAGGUGGCAAGCGUUGUCCGGAUUUACUGGGUGUAAAGGGCGUGUAGCCGGGCUUACAAGUCAGAUGUGAAAUCCGGGGGCUCAACCCCCGAACUGCAUUUGAAACUGUAGGUCUUGAGUAUCGGAGAGGCAGGCGGAAUUCCUAGUGUAGCGGUGAAAUGCGUAGAUAUCAGGAGGAACACCGGUGGCGAAGGCGGCCUGCUGGACUGCAACUGACGUUGAGGCCCGAAAGCGUGGGGAGCAAACAGG